UCCGGGGUAGCUCAACGGUAGAGCGUCUCGCUGUUAACGAGUUGGUUGUCGGUUCGAAUCCGACCCCCGGAG
This 72-nucleotide transfer RNA is filed under the name bacterium. RNAcentral's name for it is "tRNA-Asn". It matches the Rfam family "tRNA". From Rfam's summary of the family: Transfer RNA (tRNA) molecules are approximately 80 nucleotides in length. Their secondary structure includes four short double-helical elements and three loops (D, anti-codon, and T loops). The record is from RNAcentral.